UUUCUCAAGGUUUUCACUUUUUUCCUCAAAUGUUUCUCUGAUUUCAGAUAGUUUCUUUAUUUUUCAAACUGGGGUUUCAAAACCCUUUUUGCAAAAAAAUGAUUUCUUCUUGAUUACUGUGAUUUUUAGCAUGUCUAAACAUUAUCUAAGUCUUUCCUUUUGGAUCGAUUCAUUUUUGUCAAGAAACCCUAAUACUUCUGGGUUCGAUUGGAAGUUUGAAUUUGUUUGCAUGACUAUCAUGAACAUUCUGGGCUUUAUGUGUGUUCUAUAUGCUCGCGUGCUUCUCGUUUUGAUUUAUUCUUAAGGUUUCUUUGAUUUUGUCCGAAACUGUGUUAUUUAUAGGUCCGACCAUUUGUUUUACUAAUUGCUCACACAAUUUAUGGUGAUUCUGUAUGAUCUCCUUAUACCUAUACCUUUGAUUCUGUGCAUUUUCCUUGUAACUCUAUACUGAUUUUAGAAAUUGCUUCCUUACUCUUGUGAUACUUUCCUUAGUUAGUACUGAUUCCCUAUGAUUUUCAAUCUCAUCCGUGAUUCUUUGAUCUAAUUUUCAGAAUCAAAUUGUACUCUACCCUGUUUAUGUGCACAAUAUAUUGUUAUUAUACUUUCCUUACUUGAAAAUAUUCUGUACUUAGUCCCUAUUACAUGCAACAUGCUUUUGCAAUUCCUAUUAUGGUAAAAUCAGUCUUACAAACAAUUAUUUUCCUUAUUUGAUACAACUUAUACCCGUUUGAACUAUGACUCCUUAAUUGAAGGGAGUCCGGGUCUUUAAUUGAUUCUAAUUUGCAUUAUUUCUAUAAUUAUAAUAAGUCAGUACUUGUUACCUUAUUUUCUUGCCUAUUUUCAAAACUAUAAAUACUCUACCCUCUUUUCUUUAAAGACACGAACAACUAGCUCAGAACACGCACAUACACAUUCAAACUCUCCUUUCUUUCUCUACUAUUUAUUCUAUUGCUUUGUCUAGCCGGCUGAAAGCCAAGGCUAGACUGUGGAACUUUGAUUGCUUUACUUUUUUGCACUUUGCUCCUUCAACUGGUAUGUUCUUAGUUUAAAUUCUGAAACUCAACUCUAUGUGUUCCCUUGUUUGUCAAUCCUUGUCUUUUUCUGCACCAACUUAAUGGCUCAUGUUGUUAAAUUAUACUUUUUGUUAGCUGUUUUACUCAGCAUGUAUAAAAUUCUGCCCUCCUUUGUUCAAAUGUGAUCAACAUGUUUACUUGUUCCUCUUUAUGUCCCUCAACUAGCAUGUCUCCUAAUGUACCUAAUUCAUAACUAAUUAUGUGUUUCUGAUUUGGGUCCUCUAUGUCCCCAGCCCCUACUCCCCUGUUUGUAACUACUGAAGCUGUACUACUCUCUAAACUUAUUCUGUGUGUGUUGUUGUUGCUCCCAUCCCCUCUGUUGUUUUACAAACUCAUUUCAAACGCUGAUUUCAAAACUAUUUUCCAACUCAACUCCUUUGAGUCUAUGUCAAGCACUCUCAUAUGCACUCUUAGACUACUAGGUUCUGCCCCUCUUAUGUGAGCCUUGCCUUAGGACCCUAGAGCUCCCACUGAACUUGGACACAUAAGAGCUGGCCCUUCCACACUGCACUCACUCUGUUUGGUUAUGCAAUCUGGGUGUGAGCACUGCCCGAGAUCCCUUGAGGUCCUUAGGGAACUCUGACACUCCCAGAUAUAGGUAUGGAACAAUAUUGGUAUUUGAGGUGGUUUAUUACAUAACUCACAGAGGAAGUCAGAAUCAGGCUUCCUAUAGUUGUAACUUCUUAUUUUUCAUUUCAUCUUUUAUGCAAUUCUAUCACAUGGUCUAUAAUAAUUUGUAAACAAUUAUUGGGGUGGCUAGUGAAAAGGGAUAGGGUAAAUAUGCAUGCCAUUUUUUGUUAAGGGUAGAAAACAUGUUAUUAGGUUUAUAUUCCUAAUUGUGCAUAGAAAGCAUGCUUAGGAUUCAUACGAUGCAUUAGAAAUCAUGUUCUUAGGACUUAUGUUUCUUGCUUCAGCACCUCACUCAUUGAUCCAUGCUCUUUGUCUAUGCAUUUAGAAAUCAUAUUCUUAGGGAAAUUGUGCAAUCCUGCCAUGUACAUUUUGAAAUCCUGCUCUUAGGAAAUUCUGCAACCCUGCCAUAUGCAUUUAGAAAUUCUGCUCUUAGGAAAUUCUGCAAUCCUACCAUAUGCAUUUAGAAAUCCUGCUCUUAGAAAUUCUAUGUCAUGAGUUUUAUACAUGCACCUUAGACACUAUGUUCUAGGAUCUUAUUUGCACUUGCAUUCACACUUAGUGUAAAUUGCUGAUUAUAAAAGAAGUAAAAAACAGCUUUACACUUGAUUAUCCCGUUUAAAAUAACUAGUAAAAAUCUCUGCACUUGAUUAGAAUAGCAUGCUCUUAGGGUAAAAUAAGCUCCAAACCAUCUUUUAAUAAUUCUGAAUAACUGCUGUAUCUCGUUUUGCGCCUAGGCAAGCCUUAGGUAAUGACUUAAGUAAAAAAAGAAUUGCCUUUGUUUAAUUAUAAACUGUUAAAAUCAGUAGGCAAACAUGAUUCAGACUUCUUUUCUUAGUCACGUAAUAAAUCUGGUUAUGACGUUACAACUUAAACACCCUGCUUUAUGAUUUUAAAUUUAGUCCUUAGUUGUGUAUGAGUCAUGUUGUCUAUGUGCAUUGCUUGUGGAGGCAUAUCUGAUCCUUCUGCUUGUUUUCUGUGUUUUCCCUCCUUUAAAUGCAGUCCUACUUGUUUUGUAUGUCGCCUUAGUACUUUGCCUUUGAGCUUGUGGAACUGCCUAGAACCUCUUUAUAGGAUAGGUGUCCUAAAUUCUUCCGGGAUUGAUAGGAAGGGAUGGGUAACAGCAUGCAAUAAGAGUCGAGACCAACCUUCACUUAAUUACCUUUAUGGGGCCCGAAAGGGUAAAUAUGGAUAAGAUGACCGAUGCGCUAAUACCACAUGUAUCCCCUCUUUUGAGGAGUGUCAUACCGGGUAUUGCAUUGAUGUGAUCAAUAUUACAAACAAACCUAGGACAGCCCUUUACAUUCAUAAGCAUGCUUAGAUUGUAACUCUUUUUAAAACCUUGCUUUCAUUAAUCGCUUUCAAACACUUGUUUACUUAAAUCCCCUAUUAUUUGAGCCAUACUUGUCUAUUUGCUAAUGAUACAAAUUCACAAAAAUUGUCUGGUCGGGAACCACACUAGUGGAUCCUGAGGGGUGCCUAACACCUUCUCUUUAGGAUAAUUUCAAGCCCUUACUCUAUCUCUGGUUAUCAAACGUAGUUGUAGAUGAACCUUGUAGGUGCCCUAAUGUACCUUAAAAUCGUUAGGUGGCAACUCUUCAAAAAUUCAAACCUCGUUCCCAAAAGGAAUGAGUUGUCCCAUACCCAAAAUGUCAUGAACCUUAUUUAUGCGGAAGGGGAAAAAAGGGGCGCGAUAGCAUGGCGACUCUGCUNNNNNNNNNNNNNNNNNNNNNNNNNUUUUUAGGCUUUUACCAUUUCAGAUUGUUCUUGUGAAUUUGUACCUCCCUAUGUGCAAUUACUUGUUUAAUUUCUUUAAGCAUUUGAUUUCUUCUUCAAAAGCGAAACUGACAUAUCUUUCUUGUUUCCUUCCUUUACUGUCGCUUUAUAUUAUAAAAACUGCUAUAUUUAUCGCUUUCUUAACAUGCAAAUACAUGACAAUGUGCUUUUAAUUAUUGCAUAAUCAUGCUCAACCUCAUACUCCACUUGUGCCAAACAAAUACCAUAGCAACGCUUGAUGAGUGGUUGCGCUCUUCCUAUAUCAUUACCCCUAAAUUCGGAAAGGCAUAUUUGCAGUAAAACUAGUCGAUCAGCGGUGCAGUCGACAGUUCCGUGCCUUACCCUUUGAGUUGUCCGCUCAAAGGUACCAGUCUAAAACCCCAUAGAAACCUUACUCUGUUAAAUUAUGCAUGCAUCAUAGUCAAACCUAGCUGGGUCAGUUAUGUUGUCCACGUAAUGAUCCUUUAAGAUAGCCUUGUCCAAAGUCCAUUGGGUUUCCCUAAACCCAAACGGACAUCGUCACGUUCUGUGCAUUUAUUUGGAGAACUAAAUGCUUCAUGCUAAUUAUUGAUAUUAAAUAGUCGAGUCUGGUGGGGGUAAGGUCCUAACCUUGUUUUUCUUGUAGAAAUCUGAGGAACAAGGUCCUAGCUUCGGUAUGGUUAGCACACCCCCUCUCUUGCUAGAUUGAUAGAGGAGUCUUCCGUCAAAUGACCAAAUCAAUGAGUGGAAAAAGAGGGCCACCAAAGCUAGCGAAAAGCUGGAGUAUCUGGAAUACAGCCUGUUGGAAUUGGAAGGAAAGGUGAGGAAGAGAGUCACUGAUUGCCAGAACGCCAAGGGAAAUGAAGGAGAACAUUUGGAAAAGGCAUUUUUACUGGUGAACCUAUGCGAACUGGAGGAUUUGAUCAACGAGAACAUUCAACAUGAGGAUGGUCCUUCUAGGACCAAGUAGAUAGGAGUUUACCUUUUUCGCUUUAUAGAUGUAAUAAGGCCAAUGGCCAUUAGUGACUUUUGUUUCUUGCUUAUUUAGUGUCGUUUCGGGAUUCGCCUAUCUUUAUCAAUAAAAUGAG
This 4543-nucleotide long non-coding RNA is filed under the name Nicotiana tabacum (common tobacco). Its description in RNAcentral is "long non-coding RNA (NTAB_LNC000335)". The record is from RNAcentral. Lineage: Eukaryota; Viridiplantae; Streptophyta; Magnoliopsida; Solanales; Solanaceae.